GCGAGUAUGGCCCUCACGGGUCUAAUCCACCAUAAACACCUUUGUGAACCAGUCAGGGGGACUCGGCCGUGAAAGCCCAGGCGAUUAGCGGAAGGGCCCUCCUUUGCAAACCCGUUUAGAAGUCUCGAAAGUACUUUUGUAUAAUCUAGUA
This 151-nucleotide unclassified non-coding RNA is filed under the name soil metagenome. Its description in RNAcentral is "partial internal transcribed spacer 1". The record is from RNAcentral.